UUGUUGAUCGAUCUGGCAAAUAUAAUUCCAAUCCAUGGGAUAACAAUUUUCUUGCGAGCUGUUUUAAAACGAAUGUAAAUCGUUUGUUUGCUAACUAAUAUCAUAUAUGUAGGUUUGGAUUAGUCCAUUGGAUUGGAAUAUUGAAUAAAAACUCUAUACCUUUUGUCGUGAACAGUUAAGUCCGGUUUUGUACCAACAAGAACGCCAUCUUAAAUUGCCGUUUUAGAGCAUACGUCGAUCACUUUUUUAACAAUUCCGUAAAAAAAAUCAGCAGCUUAUAUACACUUUUCAAGCUUUUAUGUCAUUAAUUGAUUGCUUCUUCUAAUAACCAGUGAAUGGCAGUUGGAGCCUGUGGUCUUCCUGGCAGCCAUGCAGCGUGACAUGUGGAGGGGGGCACAGGACACGAGCUCGCACAUGUUAUAAUCCAGCGCCAAAACGGAACGGAAAGGAUUGCCCUGGGACAAAUAUCUCUACAGAGAGAUGCAAUUUUCACAAAUGUAAAGAUACAAUGGUACUGCAUCCGUAUGAACCAGUCGGUUGUUUCAAAGACGAUUAUCCACGCGCUCUACCAGUAUUAGUCAGAAAGUACUCUGUCAACGAGACAGAUUUGGCCAAUUCAUUCGCCGAGAUAAUUCAAGCGUGUGCUACUAAUGUGUAUGAGAAUGGCUUCCGGUAUUUUGGCGUCGAAUAUCGCCACGAGUGCUGGAGUGGGGUGAACGGUGACAAGACAUAUAACAGACAUGGGCGAUCCGACAAUUGUUUAUGGAAUUAUAGCGUGGGAGAUAGAUGGACCAUAUUUGUUUACCGCUUUGUUGAAGUGAACGGCAGUUGGAGCCAGUGGUCGUCAUGGAAACCAUGCAGUGUAACGUGUGGAGGGGGACACAG
Long non-coding RNA from Orbicella faveolata, 885 nucleotides. The record is from RefSeq and is a predicted model, not a curated record. NCBI's taxonomy places the organism in Eukaryota, Metazoa, Cnidaria, Anthozoa, Scleractinia, Merulinidae.